UGGCAUUAUUUUGCAAUUUCAUUUAAAACAUAAACAGAAAUCAAAUUUCUUUAGGGAUGGCAAGACUUUGUGGCUCUUAUUUUGCCCUCAUUUUAUUUGCUCUUUUAGGUAUGUGCUAUAUAUAUAUAUAUAUAUAUAUAUAUAUAUAUAUAUAUUAUAUUGAAUAAAUCAAAUUAUUUUAAAUUUACUUUUUUCUAAACAAAUUGACAAAUUAAUAAUUUCUAAAUCCAAAUUUUUGGCCCAAUAAUUUGUUUUAUUUCUAAUUUUUUAAUUUUUUGCCCAAUUACCCAUUUUAUUAUUUCAUUUCUUAGUCCAACAAGAUCCAACCCACUAACUAACCCUAAACACCUACACUAAAGUGCAUGACGAUGUCUCGACUCUCGUACUCACUCUUGCAGCUUCCUUGAUAUUCCAAAACCUAUAUAAUCGCCGGUCAACGCUAUGAUCUCUGAUCGAAGCUGUGACCUCCAUCGAUCGAAAUUUUGACCAUAGCAAUUAUUUGAAUAAGGCAAUCUACUAGUUUUUGACAUUCAAAAACCAUUAAUGUGUCAUUAGUUGUAUUUAUAUAAUGUUGUUAUAAAUGUUAAAAAAUUUAAUUAUAGUACGGAACCGGAUCGAAUUGAACCGAAGGGAACCAAACCCGAAUGGUUUCAUAAUUAUAUUUAGACCCGACGGUUCCAUUUAUUAGAUAUCCGAAAAUUUUGAGAACCGAACCGAACCGACCCGACCCACACCCACGUCUAAUUAUAAGUGCACUCCACAGCCUUAAAACACUAUAGAUUAAUAUAUUAUUUAUAAAUUAAUAAAUUAGCAAUUAUUUUAAUUAAUAAAAUUUACAUGAUCCACAUGUUAUCAAUUUAUAGAGGUUGUAUUGUAUAAGAAAAUCUACCCAAAAUUCAUAGAUUUUUGAAAUAUCUAUAGUCGAUUUGCUAUUUCGCUACAAGUUCUUUAGGCUAGAUUUCGGAUUUUCUUAAUUUAAGUAAAAUUUACUAAUAAUUGUUACUGGAUCUUGUGCAUCUAUGUUUAUGAAGAUUAAUUUAUUAUGGUUUAUGAUAAAUACUAGUCUAAGGGUAAGUAGGUAGCAUUAAUUAAUAUACCAACUUAAAAUUAUUGUGUAACAUAAUAUUAUUAUAAAUAUCAUGCCUUGGUUGGCAUUAUUUUGCAAUUUCAUUUAAAACAUAAACAGAAAUCAAAUUUCUUUAGGGAUGGCAAGACUUUGUGGCUCUUAUUUUGCCCUCAUUUUAUUUGCUCUUUUAGGUAUGUGCUAUAUAUAUAUAUAUAUAUAUAUAUAUAUAUAUAUAUGUUCAAACUUUUCUUAUCCGAGUGUUCUAUGAAAUAGAUUUCUUUAUUGACCCAAAAAAAGUUAUAUAUAUUGUAUUAAAGAAAUAAUUACAUUAGACAGGAUGCUCGAUUACAGUUCGAUUAAUGUUUCAAGCUAAUAUCAAGAAGUCUAUGUCGGACGUCGACAAUUCGAUUCAAAUUUAUGUGGAUUGGACUUCUUUGAUAAGUUUUCUUUUUCAUAUUUUAAUAUUCUGCAAAAGUUAUUGUAACUAAUUUUUCUCCAAUGGAAAAUAUAAAUGGUCAAGAAUCAAAACAUUUCAGUGGUUAAACGGUGAAAAUAAAAUGGUCGAUUUUGAGAAAACGACUGAUUUUGGGGUUGAACCAGUGGAUGUCGAGGUUAUUUUGAUAAGUUGUAAUUUCCGAUGUUUUUACUCAUAAUUAGAUUCAACCAACCGAUCUGGUCUUGUUCAUUUAAUAUUGUUACAGGACACGUUAAUGAGUGUUUUAAUUAAAAAAGUAAAUAUCAAAUACCUAAAAAUUAAGUAAAAAAAUAAAUGAAAAAUCUCUUAAUCUACUUAUUGAUGUGAUUAUUUAAAGCAAAAUAUGAUCAUUGUAAUCUAUAUUUUUAUUUUUUAUAUUGUUUUAUUUUAUUUUAUUUGUUACAGUUACCAAAUUGACAUCUCAAGUGGACGGUCUCGCUGAUGCUCGUGCUUAUGCUCCGCAGUCCCAAUGCAAGCUUUCGUUAAUUGAUCACGCAUGUGAGCGUAAAACUUGUGGAUCGCAGUGCCUUGAAAAUUACAAAGGAAUAGGAAACUGCAUUUAUGUUGGCUUUGGAGAAAUGUGCUUUUGUUUUUACGAUUGUCAUUAGCCAAUGGAUUUUAUAUUAGUAAUUUGGUUUAAUCCAACCAAAUUGACAUUGUUCGAAUUAUCAAUUAUAUAUUAAUUCUUGAUUUUAUGAAAUCAAUUUUUCAGUAGUAAGAUUGCAUAUCUACUAUGAGUCCUGUUUGAUUCUCAUUUUUU
Molecule: long non-coding RNA, 2301 nt
Filed under: Olea europaea (common olive)
Lineage: Eukaryota; Viridiplantae; Streptophyta; Magnoliopsida; Lamiales; Oleaceae
Description: long non-coding RNA (OEUR_LNC003115)
Source: RNAcentral